This 429-nucleotide ribosomal RNA is filed under the name Bacteroidota bacterium. RNAcentral describes it as "Bacteroidetes bacterium partial 16S ribosomal RNA". It matches the Rfam family "Bacterial small subunit ribosomal RNA", at positions 355 to 776 of the family's 1533-position model. The record is from RNAcentral. Lineage: Bacteria; Pseudomonadati; Bacteroidota.
UAGGGAAUCUUCGGCAAUGGGGGGAACCCUGACCGAGCAACGCCGCGUGAGUGAAGAAGGUUUUCGGAUCGUAAAGCUCUGUUGUUAAGGAAGAACGAGUGUGAGAAUGGAAAGUUCAUACUGUGACGGUACUUAACCAGAAAGGGACGGCUAACUACGUGCCAGCAGCCGCGGUAAUACGUAGGUCCCGAGCGUUGUCCGGAUUUAUUGGGCGUAAAGCGAGCGCAGGCGGUUAGAUAAGUCUGAAGUUAAAGGCAGUGGCUCAACCAUUGUAGGCUUUGGAAACUGUUUAACUUGAGUGCAGAAGGGGAGAGUGGAAUUCCAUGUGUAGCUGUGAAAUGCGUAGAUAUAUGGAGGAACACCGGUGGCGAAAGCGGCUCUCUGGUCUGUAACUGACGCUGAGGCUCGAAAGCGUGGGGAGCGAACAGG